UACGGAGGGGGCGAGCGUUAUUCGGAAUUAUUGGGCGUAAAGGGCGCGUAGGCGGCCUUGUAAGUCAAAGGUGAAAUCCCUCGGCUCAACUGAGGAACUGCCUUUGAAACUGCAAGGCUUGAGGCCGGGAGGGGGUAGCGGAAUUCCCAAUGUAGCGGUGAAAUGCGUAGAUAUUGGGAGGAACACCAGUGGCGAAGGCGGCUACCUGGACCGGUUCUGACGCUGAGGCGCGAAAGCGUGGGUAGCGAACAGG
Molecule: ribosomal RNA, 253 nt
Filed under: uncultured bacterium
Lineage: Bacteria
Description: partial 16S ribosomal RNA
Rfam family: Bacterial small subunit ribosomal RNA
Source: RNAcentral